RNAcentral lists this ribosomal RNA (443 nucleotides) under uncultured prokaryote. RNAcentral's name for it is "bacterial SSU rRNA". It matches the Rfam family "Bacterial small subunit ribosomal RNA", at positions 355 to 796 of the family's 1533-position model. The record is from RNAcentral.
UUGGGAAUAUUGGUCAAUGGACGGAAGUCUGAACCAGCCAUGCCGCGUGAAGGAAGACGGCCUUCUGGGUUGUAAACUGCUUUUAUCAGGGAAGAAAAAGGUCUUGCGAGACAGAUUGCCGGUACCUGAAGAAUAAGCACCGGCUAACUCCGUGCCAGCAGCCGCGGUAAUACGGAGGGUGCGAGCGUUGUCCGGAUUUAUUGGGUUUAAAGGGUGCGUAGGCGGCUUAUUAAGUCAGUGGUGAAAGGUAUCAGCUUAACUGAUGAAGUGCCAUUGAAACUGAUAGGCUUGAGUACACACGAGGUAGGCGGAAGUUAUGGUGUAGCGGUGAAAUGCAUAGAUACCAUAAAGAACACCAAUAGCGCAGGCAGCUUACUAGACUGAGACUGACGCUGAGGCACGAAAGCGUGGGGAGCGAACAGGAUUAGAUACCCGCGUAGUCC